CAGCAGCCGCGGUAACACGGAGGGAGCGAGCGUUGUUCGGAAUCACUGGGCGUAAAGCGUGCAUGCGGCCCCUUCAAGUGGAAUUGUGAAAUGCCCUGGCUCAACCAGGGAACUGCAUCCCAAACUACGGGGCUUGAGUACAGGAGAGGAUGGGGGAAUUCCCGGUGUAGCGGUGAAAUGCAUUGAUAUCGGGAGGAACACCAGUGGCUAAGGCGCCCAGCUGGCCUGCUACUGACGCUCAGGCGCGAAAGCUAGGGGAGCAAACAGGAUUAGAUACCCUGGUAGUCCUAGCCGUAAACGGUGAGCACUAGGUGUGGGGGGCAUCUACCCCCCCUGUGCCGCAGCUAACGCAUUAAGUGCUCCGCCUGGGGAGUACGACCGCAAGGUUGAAACUCAAAGGAAUUGACGGGGGCCCGCACAAGCGGUGGAGCAUGUGGUUUAAUUCGAUGCAACGCGAAGAACCUUACCCAGAUUUGACAUGCAUUGGACCGCGGUGGAAACACACCUUCCCUCCACUUUUUGGUGGGCCGAUGCACAGGUGCUGCAUGGCUGUCGUCAGCUCGUGUCGUGAGAUGUUGGGUUAAGUCCCGCAACGAGCGCAACCCUUGUCCUUAGUUGCCAGCAAGUUACGUUGGGCACUCUAGGGAGACUGCCGCCGACAAGGCGGAGGAAGGUGGGGAUGACGUCAAGUCCUCAUGGUCCUUACAUCUGGGGCUACACACGUGCUACAAUGGUCGGUACAAAGGGUUGCAAUGCCGCGAGGUGGAGCCAAUCCCAUAAAGCCGGCCUCAGUUCGGAUUGUAGUCUGCAACUCGACUGCAUGAAGGCGGAAUCGCUAGUAAUCGCUGAUCAGCAGGCAGCGGUGAAUAUGUUCCCGGGCCUUGUACACACCGCCCGUCAAGCCACGAAAGUUGGCAGUACCUCGACCGUCGCUAUCCCUAACCGAAACGGGUUGCGUUCCUUCGAAGCUGCUGUCAACAAUCUGGGGCUAAGUCGUAACAAGGUAUCCGUA
RNAcentral lists this ribosomal RNA (1012 nucleotides) under uncultured bacterium ACE-44. RNAcentral's name for it is "bacterial SSU rRNA". It matches the Rfam family "Bacterial small subunit ribosomal RNA", at positions 509 to 1504 of the family's 1533-position model. The record is from RNAcentral.